CAUCACUUUCAAGAGUUAACU
This 21-nucleotide non-coding RNA is filed under the name Rattus norvegicus (Norway rat). The record is from RNAcentral. Lineage: Eukaryota; Metazoa; Chordata; Mammalia; Rodentia; Muridae.